GCCUGCCCAAUGGUUGUAUCUAAAAGCGGUUGAUAAAAGUCGACCGCGUAAGGACAAUUGAAUGGCCGCGGUAACACUGACCGUGAUAAUGUAGNGUAAUCAAUAGCCAAUUAAUUGUUGGCCAGUAUGAAUGGCGCCACGAAGGCCCCACUGUCUUAAGGAAAUUCCCAGUGAAAUUGAAUUCGUAGUGAAGAUGCUACGUCCAAUUUGUUAGACGAAAAGACCCCGUUGAGCUUUACUGGGGCACUUACACGGCCCCGGCCUUCAAGACUGGGUUGAUAAGCCAAGGCUUACCAUACCUAGGGACCGGCCGAAUUUAAAUGGGCGGCUUAGACUAUGUGGCAGCCCCCCCCGUCGGGGCAGAUGAAACCCCACUCCCCCAUGUCAAAGGGGCUAACCCCCCCCCCUUGGGGGGGACAAUGUAAGUAGGACAGUUUGGUUGGGGCGACCGCCUUUUAGAGAGUAACGAAGGUGCGCUUAAGGUGCGUAAUUAAUGACUGAAGCCUGACUGCGAGGGGGACACCCCGAGCAGACACCCCUAAGCCCGCCCUUCAAGGGCGGCGGUGGGGUGGGCCAUAGUGACCCGUUAAUUUAGAGUGGAAUAG
This 605-nucleotide ribosomal RNA is filed under the name Parazoanthus sp. 'Tasmania'. Its description in RNAcentral is "partial 16S large subunit ribsomal RNA". It matches the Rfam family "Bacterial large subunit ribosomal RNA", at positions 1857 to 2441 of the family's 2925-position model. The record is from RNAcentral. Lineage: Eukaryota; Metazoa; Cnidaria; Anthozoa; Zoantharia; Parazoanthidae.